Molecule: long non-coding RNA, 617 nt
Filed under: Homo sapiens (human)
Lineage: Eukaryota; Metazoa; Chordata; Mammalia; Primates; Hominidae
Description: non-protein coding lnc-SEL1L2-3:1
Source: RNAcentral
GUGUGCAGUAAACUGGAAUGCUCUCCCUCGCUCACUCCUCAGUGUAGGAGUGAUCUGAAGCAGGACAAGCUCAGCCUGCAGCUGCCGUGGGCUUUGUGUGGACUGGACGCAGAGCUUGGGAGACGGGGGAGGGCUAUUACUCCAAUUCACUGUCAAUGGAAUUACAGCUAUAGCGGCAGUGUAUAUAGGAUUGCUUUUUCUCGUCUUCCUGGAGAUGCUCAGUCCCAGUAUAUUUUAAGGAAGAGAAAUAUAAAGGAAAUUUAGUAUGCCUCCUUUUCUUUAAAUGAAGAAUUUAGUUUCCUUUACUUCUUAAAAGAGAAUACCUGUUCUUGUAUAACGUGACUGCACCAGACAUUCUGAAAAAUCAGCAAGAAGCAAAAGCUGGAAAUAGCUAUUUCACAGCAGGUAAUCAUACCUCAGGAUGUAGCUACUGUACAAAGUUUAUACUUGGAUAAUCCUGGAUGGGAAUAAAGGUAGGGGGUAACUGCCUGAAAAACCUAUUACUAUACAGGCCUUAGCAUCAUGAAUGACUUUCUUCAUGAGGAUCUGAAGUUACUAUCUCUGACCACAUUGCACAGAAGAGCCAAUAAGAAUUUCAAAGAGGGCAAUUUCCACUA